GAAAUAACUGUGAAGGGAAGAGUAGGUGUUUGGAGUCUCGCAGCGAGUCAGGGUUGGUGGAAGCCUGAUGAGAUGAAUUAUACUGAAGGACCUCCUGGAGUUGGUUAUCUGAAAACCGUACUUGGUGAAUAGGAAAACCCGGAUUUCCCCGUUAUAGGAAGCAAAGUGAACUAUUUGUUUUGAAAUAGUUAAAAAGAAUGGUACCGUGGGCAGAAACUCACUUCUUGU
This 228-nucleotide non-coding RNA is filed under the name Geosporobacter subterraneus. RNAcentral describes it as "T-box sequence". It matches the Rfam family "T-box leader". From Rfam's summary of the family: Uncharged tRNA acts as the effector for transcription antitermination of genes in the T-box leader family. T-boxes are found upstream of many aminoacyl-tRNA synthetase genes and some amino acid biosynthetic genes usually in Gram-positive bacteria. The record is from RNAcentral. Lineage: Bacteria; Bacillati; Bacillota; Clostridia; Peptostreptococcales; Thermotaleaceae.